This 1047-nucleotide long non-coding RNA is filed under the name Ananas comosus (pineapple). Its description in RNAcentral is "long non-coding RNA (ACOM_LNC009817)". The record is from RNAcentral. Lineage: Eukaryota; Viridiplantae; Streptophyta; Magnoliopsida; Poales; Bromeliaceae.
AGCUCUGUAUUUUUGGAUUUGGACUAUGUAUAUGAAACUCAGUUUGUUUAGCUUCUGUUUUCUCUAGCAGCUCUCUACUACUGUUCGUAGUAGUGUUUGAUUUACAGGUACAGCCGUCGCUUCGUAUAUAGGGAAAAUUCCUUUGUAUACGGCGGAUUUGUCGGCGUGCCCUGGGAACGAGACAUCCGAGGCGUGACAUAGUACUAGUUAAGGAGCCCUGCACGAUGCGGCGGGAAGAUAAUACAACCGUAAAUUAUUAUAAUUAUUAAUAUUUUUUCUAUUAUGUAUUAAUAUUUUUAAAUAUUAUUUAUCUCAGUAUUAAAUAAUAAAAAAUUAAAGAAUAAAUUAAAGUAGAUUUCUUUCUAAAAAUAUUUAAAUCUUAUAUAAAUUAAUCCUUAAAAAAAUUGUGUGGACCCCACAACCCUCCAAAAUAAGGAAAAGUAUUCUUUAGUGUUGCCAAUUCAUAUAUGUUUUGGGAACUAAAGUAAAAAAUAUGCAAAAUUUAGGGAUCAAGAUUGGCAUGCAAAAAAAAGUUAAAUAGACGAUGACACUAUAAUUUCGUUAAUUCUAAAAUAUUUUUUAACGGUUACUAUUUUAUCGCGAUGAAAUUAAUUUGAAAAAAUUUAGGAAUAAAAAAAAAAUAGUGGAAAGUUUGGAAAAUUAAUCCUAAAAAAAUUGUGGGCCACACAACCCUCUAAAAUAAAGGGAGAUCUUUUUUGGAUUCUCAAUUAGAUGAAAUUUUAAUUUUAUUAUUUUGACUAUUAAAAAAUAAAUUUCUCUAUGCGAUAAAAUUUUAUACUUGAUGUAGAAUUUUUUUUUGAUAUUUAUUAAAUAAAAUUUUAAUUUUAUUAUAUUAACUAUUUAAAAAUAGAAUUGAUUUAUACGAUAAAAUUUUAUAUUUGUUGUGGGAAAAAAUUAUAAAAUAGAAAGUUGUUGAGUAAAAAAAGAAAGAAAGAAAGUGAGAGAGAGAGAGAGAGAGAGAGAGAGAGAGAGAGAGAGAGAAAAAGAGAUAGUGUGUGUGAGAGAGGAAAAAGAAAAAAAGUGGGG